This 482-nucleotide ribosomal RNA is filed under the name uncultured bacterium. Its description in RNAcentral is "partial 16S ribosomal RNA". It matches the Rfam family "Bacterial small subunit ribosomal RNA", at positions 30 to 507 of the family's 1533-position model. The record is from RNAcentral.
AUUGAACGCUGGCGGCAUGCCUUACACAUGCAAGUCGAACGGUAACAGGUCUUCGGAUGCUGACGAGUGGCGAACGGGUGAGUAAUACAUCGGAACGUGCCCGAUCGUGGGGGAUAACGAGGCGAAAGCUUUGCUAAUACCGCAUACGAUCUACGGAUGAAAGCGGGGGAUCUUCGGACCUCGCGCGGACGGAGCGGCCGAUGGCAGAUUAGGUAGUUGGUGGGAUAAAAGCUUACCAAGCCGACGAUCUGUAGCUGGUCUGAGAGGAUGAUCAGCCACACUGGGACUGAGACACGGCCCAGACUCCUACGGGAGGCAGCAGUGGGGAAUUUUGGACAAUGGGCGAAAGCCUGAUCCAGCCAUGCCGCGUGCAGGAUGAAGGCCUUCGGGUUGUAAACUGCUUUUGUACGGAACGAAAAUCCUCUUUCUAAUAAAGAGGGGUCAUGACGGUACCGUAAGAAUAAGCACCGGCUAACUACGUG